AAAGGAAUAGACGGGGGCCCGCACAAGCAGCGGAGCGUGUGGUUUAAUUCGAUGCAACGCGAAGAACCUUACCUAGGCUUGACGUAGUGGUAGUAGUGAAGUGAAAGCGGAACGACCCUUCGGGGAGCCAUUACAGGUGCUGCAUGGCUGUCGUCAGCUCGUGUCGUGAGAUGUUGGGUUAAGUCCCGCAACGAGCGCAACCCUCGUCGCUAGUUACACGUGUCUAGCGAGACCGCCGAUAUCAAAUCGGAGGAAGGUGGGGAUGACGUCAAGUCAGCAUGGCCUUUAUGCCUAGGGCGACACACACGCUACAAUGGCUGGUACAAUGAGCAGCGAACGGGUGACCUGGAGCGAAUCUCAUCAAAGCCAGUCGUAGUUCAGAUUGUAGGCUGCAACCCGCCUACAUGAAGCCGGAGUUGCUAGUAAACGCAGGUCAGCCAUACUGCGUUGAAUACGUUCCCGGGCCUUGUACACACCGCCCGU
This 483-nucleotide ribosomal RNA is filed under the name uncultured bacterium. Its description in RNAcentral is "bacterial SSU rRNA". It matches the Rfam family "Bacterial small subunit ribosomal RNA", at positions 903 to 1397 of the family's 1533-position model. The record is from RNAcentral.